RNAcentral lists this ribosomal RNA (492 nucleotides) under uncultured bacterium. RNAcentral describes it as "partial 16S ribosomal RNA". It matches the Rfam family "Bacterial small subunit ribosomal RNA", at positions 29 to 507 of the family's 1533-position model. The record is from RNAcentral.
AGUGAACGCUGGCGGUAGGCCUAACACAUGCAAGUCGAACGGCAGCACAGUAAGAGCUUGCUCUUACGGGUGGCGAGUGGCGGACGGGUGAGGAAUACAUCGGAAUCUACUUUUUCGUGGGGGAUAACGUAGGGAAACUUACGCUAAUACCGCAUACGACCUACGGGUGAAAGCAGGGGAUCUUCGGACCUUGCGCGAUUGAAUGAGCCGAUGUCGGAUUAGCUAGUUGGCGGGGUAAAGGCCCACCAAGGCGACGAUCCGUAGCUGGUCUGAGAGGAUGAUCAGCCACACUGGAACUGAGACACGGUCCAGACUCCUACGGGAGGCAGCAGUGGGGAAUAUUGGACAAUGGGCGCAAGCCUGGUCCAGCCAUACCGCGUGAGUGAAGAAGGCCUUCGGGUUGUAAAGCCCUUUUGUUGGGAAAGAAAAGCAGCAGGUUAAUACCCCGCUGUUCUGACGGUACCCAAAGAAUAAGCACCGGCUAACUUCGUG